This 74-nucleotide transfer RNA is filed under the name Clostridiales bacterium. RNAcentral describes it as "tRNA-Gly". It matches the Rfam family "tRNA". Rfam says of the family: Transfer RNA (tRNA) molecules are approximately 80 nucleotides in length. Their secondary structure includes four short double-helical elements and three loops (D, anti-codon, and T loops). The record is from RNAcentral. Lineage: Bacteria; Bacillati; Bacillota; Clostridia; Eubacteriales.
GCGGGAUUAGUAUAUUGGUAAUACAUCGGCUUCCCAAGCCGAGGAGACGGGUUCGAUUCCCGUAUCCCGCUCCA